This 614-nucleotide ribosomal RNA is filed under the name uncultured Clostridiaceae bacterium. RNAcentral's name for it is "bacterial SSU rRNA". It matches the Rfam family "Bacterial small subunit ribosomal RNA", at positions 1 to 616 of the family's 1533-position model. Lineage: Bacteria; Bacillati; Bacillota; Clostridia; Eubacteriales; Clostridiaceae. The record is from RNAcentral.
CNNNCUGGCUGGCUCAGGACGAACGCUGGCGGCGCGCCUAACACAUGCAAGUCGAACGGAGCUGUUUUCUCUGAAGUUUUCGGAUGGAAGAGAGUUCAGCUUAGUGGCGAACGGGUGAGUAACACGUGAGCAACCUGCCUUUCAGUGGGGGACAACAUUUGGAAACGAAUGCUAAUACCGCAUAAGACCACCAAGGCAGUGUCGCAUGGCACAGGGGUCAAAGGAUUUAUCCGCUGAAAGAUGGGCUCGCGUCCGAUUAGCUAGAUGGUGAGGUAACGGCCCACCAUGGCAACGAUCGGUAGCCGGACUGAGAGGUUGAACGGCCACAUUGGGACUGAGACACGGCCCAGACUCCUACGGGAGGCAGCAGUGGGGAAUAUUGCACAAUGGGGGAAACCCUGAUGCAGCGACGCCGCGUGGAGGAAGAAGGUCUUCGGAUUGUAAACUCCUGUCCCAGGGGACGAUAAUGACGGUACCCUGGGAGGAAGCACCGGCUAACUACGUGCCAGCAGCCGCGGUAAAACGUAGGGUGCAAGCGUUGUCCGGAAUUACUGGGUGUAAAGGGAGCGCAGGCGGAUUGGCAAGUUGGGAGUGAAAUCUAUGGGCUCAACCCA